CCCUUAGAUGUCCGGGGCUGCACGCGCGCUACACUGAGGGAAUCAGCGUGCUAGAAACCCUUGUUUGACAUGGCUAGGUAACCCGUUGAAAAUCUUUCGUGAUUGGGAUCGGGACUUGCAAAUGUGUCCCUUGAACGAGGAAUUCCCAGUAAGUGCGGGUCAUAAGCUCGCGCUGAUUACGUCCCUGCCCUUUGUACACACCGCCCGUCGCUGCCCGGAACUGAGCCGUUUCGAGAAGACUGGGGACUGCGAACUUUGGGCUGGAAAACAGCUUUUUGUUUGUGGAAACCACUUUAAUCGCAGCGGCUUGAACCGGGCAAAAGUCGUAACA
RNAcentral lists this ribosomal RNA (331 nucleotides) under uncultured eukaryote. RNAcentral describes it as "partial 18S ribosomal RNA". It matches the Rfam family "Eukaryotic small subunit ribosomal RNA", at positions 1470 to 1796 of the family's 1831-position model. The record is from RNAcentral.